Long non-coding RNA from Oncorhynchus gorbuscha (pink salmon), 610 nucleotides. RefSeq lists it as uncharacterized. The transcript is spliced from 3 exons. NCBI's taxonomy places the organism in Eukaryota, Metazoa, Chordata, Actinopteri, Salmoniformes, Salmonidae. The record is from RefSeq and is a predicted model, not a curated record.
AGUAAACUUUUUGGAAGACGAGAUCACGGCAAUGGUAGAGGAGAUUGAAGACAGGCAACACGUAUUGUUCUGUGGACUAAAUAGUGGGUUGACAAACAAAGCCGAACAGGUAGCUUGCGAGUGUGUCGCCGCUGCAGUGAACGAGGUGGGGCAGCAAGACAGAACUGUGGCUGGUGUGAAAGACCUGGCACUCCAGAGUUCUCCCAAAUGGACCAGCGCAUCGGGGAAAUCAUUGGGGAAAGCGCAUACACUGGCGCAUGCGCCGACCACGACAGUGAAUGUUUAAAAAAAGCAGUAACAUUGGAAACGGUGAAGUCGGUGCGCGAAACCCCAACCACUGCAUCACUGGAUCACGAAACGGGGGAAGCCCAUGCGCCCUCCACCCAGGGAUAAAGUGGGUGAGGCUCCCAAAGCAGCAGGUGCCAGGAGUGAGGGCGGAGGUUUGGCCACAGGUGUCAAGGGCCGUCCAUGUCUGCGUCCGUGCGCCAGGAUGAAGUCCGUGAGGCCCCAGUUCCCAAUCGUCGCAGACCCGCAGGUGCCAGGGGUGUGUUUGGCCACAGGUGUCGAGGGUUUCAUCGACGUCUGUGUCCACGUCUACAGUUCGCGUGUU